GACGAACGCUGGCGGCGUGCUUAACACAUGCAAGUCGAACGGAAAGGCCCUGCUUUUGUGGGGUGCUCGAGUGGCGAACGGGUGAGUAACACGUGAGUAACCUGCCCUUGACUUUGGGAUAACUUCAGGAAACUGGGGCUAAUACCGGAUAGGAGCUCCUGCUGCAUGGUGGGGGUUGGAAAGUUUCGGCGGUUGGGGAUGGACUCGCGGCUUAUCAGCUUGUUGGUGGGGUAGUGGCUUACCAAGGCUUUGACGGGUCGCCGGCCUGAGAGGGUGACCGGCCACAUUGGGACUGAGAUACGGCCCAGACUCCUACGGGAGGCAGCAGUGGGGAAUAUUGCACAAUGGGCGGAAGCCUGAUGCAGCAACGCCGCGUGCGGGAUGACGGCCUUCGGGUUGUAAACCGCUUUCGCCUGUGACGAAGCGGGAGUGACGGUAAUGGGUAAAGAAGCACCGGCUAACUACGUG
RNAcentral lists this ribosomal RNA (468 nucleotides) under uncultured bacterium. RNAcentral's name for it is "partial 16S ribosomal RNA". It matches the Rfam family "Bacterial small subunit ribosomal RNA", at positions 28 to 507 of the family's 1533-position model. The record is from RNAcentral.